Molecule: long non-coding RNA, 396 nt
Filed under: Rattus norvegicus (Norway rat)
Lineage: Eukaryota; Metazoa; Chordata; Mammalia; Rodentia; Muridae
Description: long non-coding RNA NONRATT023985
Source: RNAcentral
UAAAGUACGACCACUAUCUGGUGCCCUAUAGCUACUAUGAACUGGGAAUGCUACACUAUCUGAAAGGAGACUAUACUAAUGCAACCAAAAACCUCGACAACAUAAAGAACUAUAAGGACUAUUCCAUGGAGGCCCGGCUACAGUUUAGGGCUCAUAUUGCCCUUGAACAGAUAGCUAAAUUAGAAAAGUGAUUCUUAAUCCAGUGUGCUUCUGUGUAGUAUGAGUGGAAUAUCUGCAAUUUGUCAAGUAAUUGGUGGGUAGAAAAGGAAUUCCUCUGUGAAAAGCAGAAGUCCAAGCGGCAACUGCCAAGACCCUGCUAAGUAACUAAGAAAGGGACACGCCAUUGCUUUGCCCUCUCUCCUCCUCCUUCCCCAUAAAAUGCAAUGCUCGGACCAA